UCCUAUCACAGCACCCACUUGGAACAACCUAACAGAGGAAGGGAGGAAAAGUAUGAGGGAUCUUAGAGAAAUCAUAAUUAAAGGCAUUAGAGAGGCUGUUCCGAAGGGACAGAACUUCGAACGAGCCUUUGAGAGCAGCCAACAGAAAGAUGAGGCCCCGACCGCGUUCUUACAGAGAUUGCGGAAAAAUAUGCAGCAGUAUUCGGGGAUAGAACCUGAUUCAGGAGCAGGGCAGCAGUUGUUAAGGGCUAAUUUUGUAACCAAGUAAUGGCCAGAUAUCAGAGAGAAAUUGAAGAAAUUGGACGACUGGAAUGAAAAGCCAUUGAACCAGUUGUUAACAGAGGCUCAGAAGGUAUACGUACGACGAGAUGAGGAACGACAGAAAGGGAAAGCAAAAAUGAUGUUACAAGCCGUGCAGCAGGUAGCACAGACGGGGGGG
This is a long non-coding RNA of Amblyraja radiata (thorny skate), 439 nucleotides long. RefSeq lists it as uncharacterized. The record is from RefSeq and is a predicted model, not a curated record. The transcript is spliced from 3 exons. NCBI's taxonomy places the organism in Eukaryota, Metazoa, Chordata, Chondrichthyes, Rajiformes, Rajidae.